AAGUGUGCGGUGAUGAGGCAAUUUUGUGGACUAGAGUUUAUGAUCUGGGUUCUUCUCCCAAAAGCUUGAUUACAAACCCUUGGCUGUCUGAGCACACCUUCUUCAUCUGCUCCAACAUCUUCCAAUCUUCUGGUUUGAAUAAUAAAUGCUUUUCAAAGAUUACCCAUCUCAUCUUUUUGGUUUUUAGCAAUAACCCAUAAAUUUUUCAACGAAAUUUCUUAAAUUUGUUGAUAUAUAUUUCUGCAAAGUUAGGGUUUUGUGGUGCAAUUGGGGCUUAUGAUGAUAACAUACAAUUAUCUUAGCGGAUUUCAGUGAGGCUUCAGGGUCAAUGAUCUGAUUGUUACACACACUGAGGCUCAAAUCUCAUAUAUUUUUGUGUAUUUAUUUUUGCUAGAUUAAUUUUUGUUUUUCUUUUUAAUUUUGAAUGUUGGGUUGCGGUUGCGAUGAUGAGAUGAAACACUUGGACGUGUUUGGGGCAGUGGACGAGGCCUCUUCUGGGGGUUCUUUCCGUGAGCUCAUCUAACAAAACGACUUCUCCUUCCACUGAGCUUCCACUCCCCACAAUAUUUUUGAAAUUAUUUUAAGUAUUUUUAUUAAUUUCUGGAUGAAAUUGAAAUAAAGAUUUGAAAUCUGCGUCCAUUACCAAUUCUAGAGGAUUAUUUGGUUCCUCCUGAUGUAAUGGCUCGGACGCCAAAUUGAUUAUUGUGGCUAUUCUGAUCAGUGGCUUGGCAAUGCCAUUGGAUCCGGGAAACUCCUCAUACAUUAAUACACUUCAAAUCCAUACCUAUUUCUAAAAGUGCUUUUGCCGAUGGAUAAAGUGCUUUUGCAUUCUAAAAUGGUGUGACCUUGGACAAUACUAAACAGUGACAUUGAGCUACUUGUACCAAGAGAAGGAUUGGAAACAAAACUCGGUAUCCUUAUCUUGAUUUUGGCCAAAACGGCUGUAGCUAAAUUGAAACAACUGAGAGGUUUACUGGCCGGUCGUCGUUUUCUGUCGACAGAUCUGCUUACCGAGCUUCUCACAUUU
This 1027-nucleotide small RNA is filed under the name Malus domestica (apple). Lineage: Eukaryota; Viridiplantae; Streptophyta; Magnoliopsida; Rosales; Rosaceae. The record is from RNAcentral.